GACGAACGCUGGCGGCGUGCUUAACACAUGCAAGUCGAACGGAAAGGCCCUGCUUUUGUGGGGUGCUCGAGUGGCGAACGGGUGAGUAACACGUGAGUAACCUGCCCUUGACUUUGGGAUAACUUCAGGAAACUGGGGCUAAUACCGGAUAGGAGCUCCUGCUGCAUGGUGGGGGUUGGAAAGUUUCGGCGGUUGGGGAUGGACUCGCGGCUUAUCAGCUUGUUGGUGGGGUAGUGGCUUACCAAGGCUUUGACGGGUAGCCGGCCUGAGAGGGUGACCGGCCACAUUGGGACUGAGAUGCGGCCCAGACUCCUACGGGAGGCAGCAGUGAGGAAUAUUGCACAAUGGGCGGAAGCCUGAUGCAGCAACGCCGCGUGCGGGAUGACGGCCUUCGGGUUGUAAACCGCUUUCGCCUGUGACGAAGCGUGAGUGACGGUAAUGGGUAAAGAAGCACCGGCUAACUACGUG
This 468-nucleotide ribosomal RNA is filed under the name uncultured bacterium. RNAcentral's name for it is "partial 16S ribosomal RNA". It matches the Rfam family "Bacterial small subunit ribosomal RNA", at positions 28 to 507 of the family's 1533-position model. The record is from RNAcentral.